AUCAAGCUGACUUCAGUAUCGGUAUCUUCCAUCGACAUUUGGACUUCUCCUAAUCACCUCGGUUUCAUAGCCGAGGUUUUU
Molecule: non-coding RNA, 81 nt
Filed under: Nostoc sp. PCC 7524
Lineage: Bacteria; Bacillati; Cyanobacteriota; Cyanophyceae; Nostocales; Nostocaceae
Description: Photosynthesis regulatory RNA1
Rfam family: Photosynthesis regulatory RNA1
About the family: Formerly known as Syr1 discovered in Synechocystis sp PCC 6803, is a regulatory factor controlling photosynthetic functions. PsrR1 interacts with the ribosome binding regions of several photosynthesis-related mRNAs.
Source: Rfam by way of RNAcentral